Molecule: transfer RNA, 74 nt
Filed under: candidate division SR1 bacterium Aalborg_AAW-1
Lineage: Bacteria; Candidatus Absconditibacteriota
Description: tRNA-Arg
Rfam family: tRNA
About the family: Transfer RNA (tRNA) molecules are approximately 80 nucleotides in length. Their secondary structure includes four short double-helical elements and three loops (D, anti-codon, and T loops).
Source: RNAcentral
UGGGCCAUUAGUUUAAUGGAUAGAAUACACCUUUGCGAAAGGUGUGAUCCAAGUUCGAUUCUUGGAUGGCCCAA